RNAcentral lists this ribosomal RNA (372 nucleotides) under uncultured organism. Its description in RNAcentral is "bacterial SSU rRNA". It matches the Rfam family "Bacterial small subunit ribosomal RNA", at positions 526 to 896 of the family's 1533-position model. The record is from RNAcentral.
CAGAGGGUGCGAGCGUUAAUCGGAAUUACUGGGCGUAAAGCGCGCGUAGGCGGCUUUUCAAGUCGAUUGUGAAAUCCCCGGGCUUAACCUGGGAACUGCAGUCGAGACUGUCUAGCUAGAGUAUGGGAGAGGGAAGUGGAAUUUCAGGUGUAGCGGUGAAAUGCGUAGAUAUCUGAAGGAACAUCAGUGGCGAAAGCGACUUCCUGGACCAAUACUGACGCUCAUGUGCGAAAGCGUGGGGAGCAAACAGGAUUAGAUACCCUGGUAGUCCACGCCAUAAACGAUGAGAACUGGAUGUCGGAGGGGUCUGCCCUUCGGUGUCGUAGCUAACGCGUUAAGUUCUCCGCCUGGGGAGGUACGGCCGCAAGGUUG